Homo sapiens (human) is the source of this 3460-nucleotide long non-coding RNA. NCBI's taxonomy places the organism in Eukaryota, Metazoa, Chordata, Mammalia, Primates, Hominidae. The record is from Ensembl.
AUUCACCAAAUGUCCAAUUACAUAUCCUCCCUGCCUGGACCUUCAGAACAAUAUAAAACUGAAUGAAGGCUAUGAAAGAAGUCACAGGAGGAUUUUUGCAGAGCUUCCAUCCAGUUCAGAAACAAAGCAAUUCAAUACAUGUCUUCAAGAUUUCUAAAGGCAAUGACUUAAUUCUAAGUUCCAUGAAAGCAGGCAUUGUGUGAAUUUCUCCUGCAUCUGGAACUGGCCUAGCACACCAAUAGAACCAUGGAGAAUUGCCAAGAUUGCUGACUAGAUGUGGCCAGGAGAAAUAUCUCCCACUGAGAGACUGGGACAUUGGAAAGACUAUAACACACCUCUGAGUAGAUCUUCUGAUGGAAGACAUUAAGAGUGGAUGCAGAGAGGAUGCAGAUGCUGGGCUGAAGAGAGAGGAAGCUGGAAACCCUGCAUAGUGUGGCUGAGCCUCAGGACUUGUACCUGGCCCUCAGAGACUCCUGGGGGAAGGGUGAGUUUACAGGUGAGGAGUGGCCUGCUCUCACCAUGGACCCAUUCUGGUAGGUCCCUCAACCUCUAUGGGCAUCUGAGAUGGUAGGAAAAGCUGCUCAGAGAGGUCAUAUGGGCAGGACUCCAGCCUAUGCAGAGCCCAGAGUGGUGGGAGAACAGCUGCAGUGAAGCACAUCCAGGGACGGCCAUCCUCCAAGGCUCACUGUGCUUCUCCAGGAUACUUUAGCCUCAAUAUGACUGUUAGAGCUAGACAAAGCAGGGCAGUCUUGCUCGUGGGAUGCGGCCUGAUGCCUGAUCUGAUGCUCUGUUACCUGCUGGCCUCUCUUGGGGAGCCAGUCUGGUCGUGCUUGCUUGAAGUGCAGCCUUGGAUACCCAACAGGGGUGCUUCUAGGAACCCUCAUCAUAGCUCCUUCAAUGGCAGACUUAGCUCCUUCAAUGGCAGACUGUGCCUGAUUAUCAGAGAACUCCAGCAGACCAGGCCCCACUUACAUGAACCAGCCCACGCACAGCUUCACCCUAUCACAGCCCUCCCGUAAUGCUUUACUGACAUGCAUUUGCUCAUGGCCAUUCUCCAUCGCUGUGCUUGUAUGAGUCCACCUUGUUGCUUCCCCCUGCCAUUAACAUGCAGGUUCACUCCUGUGCCAGCACUAAUGUGUGCACAGAUGCUGGCAACACUGUUCUCCCCCCAACCCCUGCUACCACCGCCACCAAUGCUGCCGGUGUGAAUGCAUACAUGGACACCAGCAACUCCAUCUCUGCUAGUGUACUGCCCUUGCUGUGCUGUCAUCACUGGCAUAAACAUGUGCAGGAACACCACCUCCCUGCUCCCACAGUUGCUCUGUGCAAGCCAACAUGUGUGCACCUUGCCACAUUGCUGUGGCUGCUGGUAUGCAUGAGCCAGCAUGGAUCCCACUGCCACUACUCCAGUGACAUGCUUUGACCAGCACCCCUCCCCAUCAGAGUGUGGUGGCCAGUGGACAAGAACACCUCAGUCUCUCCAGUGCAGCAGCUUCCUAACCUUGAGGGGCCAGAGAACAAGGCUGGGGGCCCAGUACCAGCCUCCCAGAGUUAAAACAUGCAGCCCAGCAGUGUAGAGCUGAGCCUUGGCUUUCUAAAAUCUUCCAGAAAUAAAUGAAGCCAGUUGACUGAACCCAUCAUAUGCCACAAUCUAACUCCCAGGGCAUCAAAGAAGAUAAAAGCCAAAAUCCCCAUCCAAAGGACAGUAAUAUCAAAGAUGAGAAAGAACCAGUGCAAAAAACUCUGGCAAUUCAAAAAGCCAGAGUGUCUUUUUACCUCCAAACGAUCACUCCAUUUCCUCAGUGGUGGUUCUUAACUAGGCUGAAAAGACAGAAAUGACAGAUAUAGACUUCAGAAUAUGGAUAGGAAAGAUGAUCAAGAUUUGGGAGAAGAUUGAAACCCAAUCCUAGGAAGCUAAGGAAUACAAUAAUGCAAUACAGGAGCUGAAAGAUGAAAUGGCCAUUUUAAGAAAGAACCAAACUGAUGUGAUAGAGUGACAGAGCUGAAAAACUCACUUUGAGAAUUUCACAAUACAAUUGCAAGUAUUAACAGCAGAGUAGACCAUGCUGACGAAGGACUCUCAGAUCUUGAAGACCAGUUCUCCAAAGUUAACUUGGUCAGACAAAAAUAAAGAAAAAAGGAUAUAAAAAGAAUAAACAAAACCUCCAAGAAACAUGAGAUUAUGUAAAGAGAUCAAAUUUCUGAUGCAUUGGCAUCCUUGAAAAUGAGGGAGAGAAAGCACGCAACUUAGAAAACAUAUUUCAAGAUAUUGUCAAUGAAAAAUUCCCCAACCUCGCUAGAGAGUCCAAUAUUCAAAUCCAGGAAAUGAAGAGAACGCCUGCAAGAUAUUAUACAAGAUGAUCAUUCCUAAGACACAGAGUCACCUGAUUCUCUGAGGUUGAAAUGAAAGAAAAAAUGUUAAAGGCAGCUAAAGAGAAGGGACAGGUUGCUUACAAAGGCAACCCCAUCAAGCUAACAGCAGACCUUUCAGCAGAAAUCCUACAAGCCAGAAGAGACUGGGGGCUUAGAUUCAGUAUUUUUAAAGAAAAUAAAAUCCAAAUAAGAAUUUUGUAUUCAGCCAAACUAAGCUUCAUAAGCAAAGGAGAAAUAAGAUCCUUUUCAGAUAAGCAAAUACUGAAAGAAUUACCAUCAGAUAUGCCUUACAUGAGGUUGUGAAGGGAGUACAAAACAUGGAAAGGAAAGAUCAUUAUCAGCAACCACAAAAACACACUUAAGUACAUAGACCAUUGAUACUAUAAAGCAACUACACAUCAAGUAUGUAUAAUACCAGCUAAAAACAUGAUGACAGGAUUAAAUCUGCACUAUCAAUAUUAACCUUAAAUGGCAAUGGGCUAAAUGCAUCAAUUAAAAGGCACAACAUCGCAAGCUGGAUAAAGAAGCAAAAUUCAUUUGUGUGCUGUCUUCAAGAGAUCCAUCUCACAUGAAACAACAUGGAUAGGCUCAAAAUAAAGAGAUAGAGAAAAUCAACCAAGCAAACGAGAAACACACAACCAUAAAAAAGAAUGUAUUCAUGUCCUUUGUGGUGACAUGGUUGGUGCUGGAGGUCAUAAUCCUGAGCAAACUAAUCAGGACAGAAAACCAAAUACUGCAUGUUGUCACUUAUAAGUGGAAGCUAAACACUGAAUACACAUGGACACAAAGAAGAAAAUAACAGACCCUGAGGCCUACUUGAGAAUGGGAGGAGAGUGAGGAUUGAAAAACUAUCUAUUGAGCACUAUGCUUAUUACCUUGGUGAAAAAAUAAUCUGUGCAGCAAAUCCCUGUAACAUGCAAUUUACCUAUAAUAAGCCUGUGCAUGUACCUCUGAACCUAAAAUGAAAGUUACAAAAAGAAAAAAAAAGAAACUAUACAAAAUAUAUUUGUAGGAAAAAUGAGUAAAGUGAAUUCAGUGUUAAACUCUUUGAUGAUUAUUAUUAAAAUUAUGUAAAUCUAUGUAAUUU